Molecule: transfer RNA, 94 nt
Filed under: Pseudomonas paralactis
Lineage: Bacteria; Pseudomonadati; Pseudomonadota; Gammaproteobacteria; Pseudomonadales; Pseudomonadaceae
Also listed under: 1 other name
Description: tRNA-Tyr
Source: RNAcentral
GGGAACGUUCGAUUUUCAAAUUGCGAAGAACUCGACGAGUAACGUUAGCUUCCGGACAGCACCGCAGGGGGUUCAACUCCCCCCGUUCCCACCA